AGUAGUUUGAUCAUGGCUCAGGACACGCUGGCGGCGCGCCUAACACAUGCAAGUCGAACGGGACUAGUGACCGGAACUUAGAGUUUCUCUAGGUUGCGUUCACUAGUUCAGUGGCGGACGGGUGAGUAAAGCAUGAGUAACUUUCCCAUUAGUGGGGAAUAGCUUUUGGAAACAGAAGAUAAUACCGCAUACAUCGUUGAGGACUCAUGUUCUCUUCGGAAAAGAAGCAAUUCGCUUAUGGAUAGGCUCAUGUCUGAUUAGCUUGUUGGUGAGGUAAUGGCUCACCAAGGCCAUGAUCAGUAGCCGUACCGAGAGGUUCAACGGCCACAUUGGGACUGAGACACGGCCCAGACUCC
This 356-nucleotide ribosomal RNA is filed under the name uncultured Oscillospiraceae bacterium. RNAcentral describes it as "bacterial SSU rRNA". It matches the Rfam family "Bacterial small subunit ribosomal RNA", at positions 1 to 339 of the family's 1533-position model. The record is from RNAcentral. Lineage: Bacteria; Bacillati; Bacillota; Clostridia; Eubacteriales; Oscillospiraceae.